AUUGAACGCUGGCGGCAGGCCUAACACAUGCAAGUCGAACGAGUGGCGGACGGGUGAGUAAUGUCUGGGAAACUGCCUGAUGGCGGGGGAUAACUACUGGAAACGGUAGCUAAUACCGCAUACCAUCGGAUGUGCCCAGAUGGGAUUAGCUAGUAGGUGGGGUAACGGCUCACCUAGGCGACGAUCACUAGCUGGUCUGAGAGGAUGACCGGCCACACUGGAACGUAGACACGGUCCAGACUCCUACGGGAGGCAGCAGUGGGGAAUAUUGCGCAAUUGGCGCAAUCCUGAUGUAGCCAGGCCGCGUGUAUGAUGAAGGCCUUCGGGUUGUAAAGUACUUUCAGCGGGGAGGCGUUACCCGCAGAAGAAGCACCGGCUAACUACGUGCCAGCAGCCGCGGUAAUUC
RNAcentral lists this ribosomal RNA (406 nucleotides) under uncultured bacterium. Its description in RNAcentral is "partial 16S ribosomal RNA". It matches the Rfam family "Bacterial small subunit ribosomal RNA", at positions 30 to 526 of the family's 1533-position model. The record is from RNAcentral.